Molecule: ribosomal RNA, 460 nt
Filed under: uncultured bacterium
Lineage: Bacteria
Description: partial 16S ribosomal RNA
Rfam family: Bacterial small subunit ribosomal RNA
Source: RNAcentral
CCUACGGGAGGCAGCAGUGAGGAAUAUUGGUCAAUGGGCGCGAGCCUGAACCAGCCAAGUAGCGUGAAGGAUGACUGCCCUACGGGUUGUAAACUUCUUUUAUAAAGGAAUAAAGUGAGGCACGAGUGCCUUUUUGUAUGUACUUUACGAAUAAGGAUCGGCUAACUCCGUGCCAGCAGCCGCGGUAAUACGGAGGAUCCGUGCGUUAUCCGGAUUUAUUGGGUUUAAAGGGAGCGUAGAUGGGUUGUUAAGUCAGUUGUGAAAGUUUGCGGCUCAACCGUAAAAUUGCAAUUGAUACUGGCAGCCUUGAGUACAGUUGAGGUAGGCGGAAUUCGUGGUGUAGCGGUGAAAUGCGUAGAUAUCACGAAGAACACCGAUUGCGAAGGCAGCUUACUAAACUGCCACUGACGUUGAUGCUCGAAAGUGUGGGUAUCAAACAGGAUUAGAUACCCGUGUAGUC